GACGAACGCUGGCGGCGUGCUUAACACAUGCAAGUCGAACGGAAAGGCCCUGCUUUUGUGGGGUGCUCGAGUGGCGAACGGGUGAGUAACACGUGGGUAACCUGCCCUUGACUUUGGGAUAACUUCAGGAAACUGGGGCUAAUACCGGAUAGGAGCUCCUGCUGCAUGGUGGGGGUUGGAAAGUUUCGGCGGUUGGGGAUGGACUCGCGGCUUAUCAGCUUGUUGGUGGGGUAGUGGCUUACCAAGGCUUUGACGGGUAGCCGGCCUGAGAGGGUGACCGGCCACAUUGGGACUGAGAUACGGCCCAGACUCCUACGGGAGGCAGCAGUGGGGAAUAUUGCACAAUGGGCGGAAGCCUGAUGCAGCAACGCCGCGUGCGGGAUGACGGCCUUCGGGUUGUAAACCGCUUUCGCCUGUGACGAAGCGUGAGUGACGGUAAUGGGUAAAGAAGCACCGGCUAACUACG
This 466-nucleotide ribosomal RNA is filed under the name uncultured bacterium. Its description in RNAcentral is "partial 16S ribosomal RNA". It matches the Rfam family "Bacterial small subunit ribosomal RNA", at positions 28 to 505 of the family's 1533-position model. The record is from RNAcentral.